GUUAACGCUGGCGGUAUGUAUAAUACAUGCAAGUCGAGCGCCCUGCACUUUGUUUACAAUUAGUUUGUAGGUAAAGUGCAGGGAGCGGCGCACGGCUGAGUAAUACGUUGGUAACUGCCCCGAACUCAGGGAUAACACCUAGAAAUAGGUGCUAAUACCGGAUAGUCCCGAAAGGGUAAAGAUUUUUCGGUUCGGGAGGUGCCUGCGGCCUAUCAGCUAGUUGGUGAGGUAAUAGCUCACCAAGGCUAUGACGGGUAGCUGGUCUGAGAGGACGACCAGCCAGAAUGGAACUGAGACACGGUCCAUACUCCUACGGGAGGCAGCAGUAAAGAAUCUUCCACAAUGGGCGAAAGCCUGAUGGAGCAAUACCGCGUGGGCGAUGAAGGUCGAAAGAUCGUAAAGCCCUUUUCUGAGGGAAUAAUUUUGAAGGUACCUCAGGAAUAAGCACCGGCUAACUCCGU
This 461-nucleotide ribosomal RNA is filed under the name uncultured bacterium. Its description in RNAcentral is "bacterial SSU rRNA". It matches the Rfam family "Bacterial small subunit ribosomal RNA", at positions 29 to 506 of the family's 1533-position model. The record is from RNAcentral.